Silurus meridionalis is the source of this 903-nucleotide long non-coding RNA. RefSeq lists it as uncharacterized. NCBI's taxonomy places the organism in Eukaryota, Metazoa, Chordata, Actinopteri, Siluriformes, Siluridae. The transcript is spliced from 2 exons. The record is from RefSeq and is a predicted model, not a curated record.
CCAGCUCCCUGAAGAUUUGCUUUCCCUGGGUUGGAGUGGAACAUCUCCUGCUAUAAAGUUAUAAAUUCUACCAAACACUUCAGGUGUGAAUCUUUCUGCACCCCCAGGCCUCCUCACCUCAUCUACAUCACUACCUGACUUUACUUACACCCUUGUGAAUGAGCACAAAUCUACACAAAAUCUAGUGGAAAAUCUUUCCAGUGGACUGAAUGUUAUUAGAACAGCAAAUGUCGAAUGUGAUGUUCCAAAAGCACAAACCAAUCUCAUGGUCAGGCGUCCACAAAUCUUUGUCCGUAACGUGUGUAGACACAAGAAGAAAAUAUUGUGCAUGUAAUGCAACUUUGUGUCUGUGUAAUCAGAGGUAAACAUAUGAGGUAAAUGUUUGACAGGUUUUGACGAACAAGGGCACGACAUCAUGCACACACACACACACACACACACAGAAACACAGUAUAGGGUACAGUAAUCAGUAAAUUACUGUGUGUAUUUGAUUUGUGUAAUAAUGCUGGCUCGGCAUUUUAUAAUCAACUUUUUUGUUUUCAUUUAUUUCACAGGAAAAUUAAAGUUACACAGGACACUGAGUCUGUACAGGGUUGAUGAUAUUGGAAUAGAUGACCACACACUUUAAUCUUUAGAACAACAAUAGUCAUAUGGAAACAUCUGCUAAUCCAGGCUGCCCCCUAAUCCUGCAUGCUGCCACCCACCACCCAAUUUACUGAUUCCAGCUUUGCAGAAGAUCUCAUACAACGUCUCAGUGUGAGAAUCACUGGCUGGAGUGCUGAGAUGGACCACGGAAACACAUCAGAGUUCAGCUUUCAAAAGAUCCAAGAAAUCAAGAAUUCCCCAAAAACUGCAUUUAUACCGAAAGUGACUAUAAAACCGCAAUAAAAGUGUGAAACGGCA